UUCCUUGUGCUAAGGUGCAUCUAGUGCAGUUAGUGGACUAACUUACAAUCUACUGCCCUGAGUGCUCCUUCUGGCACACGGA
This is a microRNA precursor of Ophiophagus hannah (king cobra), 82 nucleotides long. It matches the Rfam family "mir-17 microRNA precursor family". From Rfam's summary of the family: This family represents the microRNA (miRNA) precursor mir-17, family, which includes mir-20, mir-91, and mir-103. miRNAs are transcribed as ~70nt precursors (modelled here) and subsequently processed by the Dicer enzyme to give a ~22nt product. In this case the mature sequence comes from the 3' arm of the precursor. The record is from Rfam. Lineage: Eukaryota; Metazoa; Chordata; Lepidosauria; Squamata; Elapidae.